RNAcentral lists this ribosomal RNA (464 nucleotides) under uncultured bacterium. Its description in RNAcentral is "partial 16S ribosomal RNA". It matches the Rfam family "Bacterial small subunit ribosomal RNA", at positions 28 to 506 of the family's 1533-position model. The record is from RNAcentral.
GACGAACGCUGGCGGCGUGCUUAACACAUGCAAGUCGAGCGGUAAGGCCCCUUCGGGGGUACACGAGCGGCGAACGGGUGAGUAACACGUGAGCAAUCUGCCCAUCACAUCGGGAUAACUCCGGGAAACCGAAGCUAAUACCGAAUACGACCACCUCCGGCAUCGGAUGGUGGUGGAAAGUUCCGGCGGUGAUGGAUGAGCUCGCGGCCUAUCAGCUUGUUGGUGGGGUAACGGCCCACCAAGGCUUCGACGGGUAGCCGGCCUGAGAGGGUGACCGGCCACACUGGGACUGAGACACGGCCCAGACUCCUACGGGAGGCAGCAGUGGGGAAUAUUGGACAAUGGGCGAAAGCCUGAUCCAGCAACGCCGCGUGAGGGAUGACGGCCUUCGGGUUGUAAACCUCUUUCAGCAGGGACGAAGCGCAAGUGACGGGACCUGCAGAAGAAGCACCGGCCAACUACGU